UACGAAGGGGGCUAGCGUUGUUCGGAAUCACUGGGCGUAAAGGGCGCGUAGGCGGCCGUUCAAGUCGGGGGUGAAAGCCUGUGGCUCAACCACAGAAUUGCCUUCGAUACUGGACGGCUCGAGACCGGAAGAGGUUAGUGGAACUGCGAGUGUAGAGGUGAAAUUCGUAGAUAUUCGCAAGAACACCAGUGGCGAAGGCGGCUGACUGGUCCGGUUCUGACGCUGAGGCGCGAAAGCGUGGGGAGCAAACAGG
This 253-nucleotide unclassified non-coding RNA is filed under the name uncultured Alphaproteobacteria bacterium. RNAcentral's name for it is "contains 16S-23S intergenic spacer region". It matches the Rfam family "Bacterial small subunit ribosomal RNA", at positions 524 to 776 of the family's 1533-position model. Lineage: Bacteria; Pseudomonadati; Pseudomonadota; Alphaproteobacteria. The record is from RNAcentral.